Molecule: long non-coding RNA, 444 nt
Filed under: Fukomys damarensis (Damara mole-rat)
Lineage: Eukaryota; Metazoa; Chordata; Mammalia; Rodentia; Bathyergidae
Description: lncRNA (ENSFDAG00000025831.1)
Source: RNAcentral
AAGAAAAGUGUCAGUAAGAUAGAAAAGAGCUCUCAGCAGGGCCAUUUGCAGAGGUAAAUACGUCCCCUGCUUUGUGACUAAAUAGAAGAGAAUGUUGCAGGCAUCGAUGCCUCCAGGCGGAAAGCAUUAUGACCGGAGGCACUGUGCCUAGCCUGGACGCUGGGGUCUACUCUGUGCAGGGACCUCAGAUGUAGUUUCCGGUCCAGUGAGCGCAGUUGACAAGAACACAUUCGCAAAUGGGUCGACAUCCCAGUGGAGACAAUGCCAAGGGGAGGAUCUCAUUCGUCACAGCAGAAGGAGUUUGUUCCAGAGCCAAAACUGUUGGGUUCCUCUUGUAGCAUCUUCUGGACCAAUGUCCAUUCUGGUUCACACCGGGGAGUGGAGGGGAAAAUUGUAAAACCAUCUCAGCUUAAAUGGUACGUUAAAUUCUUGUCUUUCUUCCUA